Long non-coding RNA from Patella vulgata (common limpet), 2309 nucleotides. RefSeq lists it as uncharacterized. The record is from RefSeq and is a predicted model, not a curated record. The transcript is spliced from 5 exons. NCBI's taxonomy places the organism in Eukaryota, Metazoa, Mollusca, Gastropoda, Patellidae.
UUUAUGCCAUUCAUUUCCUUGUAUUAAAUUGGUCGAAUCAAGUAGGUCCAUGCUAUAUAUAUAUGUCCUAGAAUCAAGUAGGACAGGUAGUCUUCUUCCGCCCUUUUUCUGAACACUGUCUCAUUCUAUUGCCAUCUGUGUAUGUUGUGUUAUAUUAAUUCUGCAUAAUUAACUCUAGUUAACCUAGUUAACUCUAUAAUAAUAAAUGAAUUUAAUAUAUAAAUAAAUAAAUAAAAUAUAAAUAAACCAAUAAUAUAUUUGUAGUUUAAUAUGUUUUAUCUUAUCAUUACAGGCAAAGCAUGAAGCCAAAGGAAAUGUUUUUACCAAGGCAUGUUCCUCAAUAGCGGAGAGAGAGUUUUAUCCAGUGUCGGUUCUGCAGAAGAACCCAUUCAUAGCAGACCACCCAUUGCAGCACCUGUAAAGGUCGCUAUAAAGAACCCGACAGACUCUGCGACCAAAAGAUCCCACUGACGUGUCGUCAAGCCUUGACGAAGAUUUCAUCGAUCAUAGUGCACCGGGAUUUUAUCAAAAAUGAGUAAAAGUUGGGGAAAGGCGCCAUCACAUUUUUUGUACUGAUAGACAGAUGCAACUACUCGCACGCGCAAAAACUUGGUAUAUGGAUGCAACUUUUCGGGUGGUGAACAAGCCAUGGUCUCGGCUGUUUUCCAUACACGCCUUCAUUAAGACUGGAGAGACCACCCGACAGUUACCAUUGGUGUUUUGUGUAAUGUCGGGUAAAAGCCAAGACGACUAUUAUAAGUUUCCAUAUUAGAUGCCAUAGCAAAUCAAAGAUCAUAUAAUAAAAUAAGUCAAAAAACCCAAAUAUGGGAAAAGAAAGAGCUGAAGAAAUGGUGAUUUGAGCACCUUUGAUUUCUCAUAGGUGUUUUUGGAGGUUAACUACAUCAGAAAGAUCAAGACAGUUGGAAAUGGCUAUUCAUAUUAUGGAAACUUUUUCUCACAGAGCUUGAUAAUCAGGUAAAAUGCUGGAAGAUUAUUUGAUGUAUGAUAACAACAAGAGAUCCCAAGCAUCAAUUUAUUUUAUAAUUCUGGAAAAGAAUGCAUUUGACCCAAUUUUUGAAUAUUUUUUUUUGUUUUUACUGUUAAAUAUUCAUCCCAAACACAAUUAGAUUUUAAUUCUCUACAGAAAUUUAUGUAUAAUAUAGAAUGUAAAGUGACAUAUAAAUCACUUAGAAUUUGGUCGGAAAUCAUAAAGUAUUUAAUAGGCAUAGUCUAGAAACCAAAUGUAGAUCAAAUAUACCCAGAAUUACAAAAAACCUUGACCUACAUUAAGGUGACUUUCCCUUGCUUAUGAAAUGAAAUAGGGUUUAAUAUCCUACUUUUCUGUGUUAUUAUGGUGAUUCUGCACUACAACCUACUCUUAUAUCAAAUAUUUCAACUGUCAAGGGUUGUUUAAAGGGAACCCAGGAGGGCCGAAUGGUUAACACACGCACAUUGGAUCAGAAGGGUCUGUCAUUGAGUCAGAUAAUUCAAUUGUCAAGGGUUCCUUAAAGUAAACGCAGUGGGGGUAGUUUCAAUUCUGGGCUUAUACCCAAUUAUCCCUUGCCAUGUCCUACACUACUGACGUAUGGGAACUAUGUCGGAAAAUCCAGUUGAAAUUUCUCGGCCAAUGCACUCACUGAACCACAGUGGCUCCUCCUUGCUUUUGACUUGUGAUUAUUUAUAUAUAUUUUGUACAUAUUAUUUAAUGUUUGCGAUUUUCUCUGAUAUUUUUUUAUUUUUCAAUCCUGUAAUCUUGAUGCUUUGCUCCUUUUAUGUACAAAAUAUUCAUUUUGUUUGAGGAAAAGGUUCUACAUCAUUUUAUUACUCCUGCAAAAUAGUGCAUUUUUCUUUUGUUAGUUUUCUGUGUAUGCUAGUUAUUUCUAGAUGCCUCACAAAUCACUUGUAAUAUGACUUUGUAGCACUUUUCAGUUUCUGAAAGUAUUUCAAUUUAGUGCAUAAUUAAUCUAAUUAGGGCUUGGUUUGGAUGUUAUUAAAUUUAGAUAUAUUUGAAUUAUAUAUUUUUGGGGUAUGGGGUAGGGAUCUUUCUUUUCUCAGUUCUUGUUUUCGGGUAAAGAAAAAAUUAAAUAGCUAUUUUGUAUUUUGUGAUGUGGGGGGGAGGGGGGCAAAGUAUAACAAAAUUUUUAUUAGUAUUAGAAUUAUAUCUCUGUUUUUCUGUUAACAUUUCAAAUGAUGUCUAUUUAGUUUUGAUUUGGUGGUGUUAAUUUACUUUUUCCUAUCAUUUUAUGAAUAAAUGAUAAUUUAACAAAUAAAAUUAUUGUUACCUCAUUUAUCAAACUUUACAGGUUAAA